AUAAUGGUGUUUUUAUUCAGCCCAAACAAAACUAUUCUAAUUAGUUUAAAGGAGAAAGCUGACAUGCAAGGACCUGCAGCCUUGCAGGUGGGGAGAGUGAGCAGCAAGUCCCAGUGAUGAAGGCCCUGGCCACCCUCAAGAGCAGGCACUCAAAACAUGAGAUUCUCUUUCUAAAGUCUCUAGAGUUAGAAAUUCUAAGUGCAUUCCCUUACCUGGUGUGGCCAUUGACCCU
Molecule: long non-coding RNA, 232 nt
Filed under: Mus caroli (Ryukyu mouse)
Lineage: Eukaryota; Metazoa; Chordata; Mammalia; Rodentia; Muridae
Description: lncRNA (MGP_CAROLIEiJ_G0034618.1)
Source: RNAcentral